Molecule: long non-coding RNA, 324 nt
Organism: Humulus lupulus (European hop)
Lineage: Eukaryota; Viridiplantae; Streptophyta; Magnoliopsida; Rosales; Cannabaceae
Exons: 2
Source: RefSeq, a predicted model, not a curated record
UAUACAAGUAUGUAUGCAUAUAUUUGUUGUGUUGAUUUUAACCGUUUUAAAAGAGCAUGUCAACAUCUGACAUUUUUCUUUUUUUAUAAUGUUGAUUAAAAUGAAUAGGUUAAUAUUUUGAUUGGUCUUAAAGCAUUGGAUUGGUAGCUAAUUGCAAGAGUUCACCUUCGACAAGCCAUAUACUACUCAAGAAAUUGAUGAAGUUAGAGAAGAAUGGGCAAUGUUAUUUUUACAUUUGGUUAGAGCAAAAUGAAUGAUGUUAUAGCUAGCUAAUUACAAUACAUGUUUAGAAAUUUUAAAUUUAUUUCGUAAAAUUUUUUGCCA